CUCCUCCGCUGAUGAAGUAAUUCAUUAUGAUGAAAAGAAGUUUACAAAAGAAAAAAAGAAUCUCUACUAAUCAAUGCUCCAGAAGAGAGCCAAUAGCGAGCUCAAACAAUAUAUAAAUUUCUUAAAACGAGUAGCAAUGUUAAUAGAAAAUGAAAUUACAACACUACUUCUUCCACUUAAUUUGUUAGUAAAUCUUCCAUACGAAAGAAUGUAAAAAACAUCACUGAAGAACAGGUUUAGUAGGUAGAUUAGAUAGAAUUUGACAUUAUAAAAAAGAAAAAUACAGUAAAAUUUUGUUCGUGGUACUAUCAGUAUUGUGUAAUACUGCAUAUCAAAACGUGUCCAACUCGUGUUUAAAGCUUCUGUGGAAGUUGCAAAAAGAUCAGCUAAUCCAUUAAAAUCAACAAACAAACCUGUUAAACCAUGAUAAAUUGAAGGUUGGUAAGGCAUGAACGUACACUCAGCUGAACAUCAACGAAGCAUUCAUUCGGGCACACCAAAUUAUACAUAUAAAUGAUGUGUAGCUCGAUGGCUUAAAUUAAGAAAUUAUGGUAAGAGAUCAACCCUAAGAAUUAUUGGCAAACCCUAAAACAAGAUCAGGUAAAAGGGUUUCCAAAAGUAAAGAAAUCUUUUCAUAAUACAAAUAAAAGACACAGAUCCAUAAAGGAUGUGCCUUAGACAACACCCAAACAAAGUAAAAAUCCCACACGAAGCAAGAUACAAACCAGAAAUAGAGAGAUCUUCUUUCGAUAAACUGAUGGAAAGACACAGACACACCUGCAUACAAUAUUGACCUCUUAAUUUGUCUACAAGAUUCAUAACCCUUUUCUCUUAUAUAAUAUCUAGUCAACAAGAUCGAUCUAAAAGGAAAGAAAGAGGAGAAGUAAGAAAGAAACUUAUUAAUUUGCUUGAUCUAGCAAACAAACCGGACCGUGAUGCUUGAUUCCCCAUAAAGAAAAACACUUCGAAUUUCGUGAGUGAAGAAAAAGCCCUUUUUUCACUUCAAACCUUGAGUUUUUCUUGUACCUUUUUCUUCAUCGUCGUCAGAUAAAGGUCCAACUUCCAAAUCCUUUUCAGUAUUACCCUUCUUUUUCUUCUUCUUGUUCUUUGUCUUUGGUGAUGAUAAUGAUAGUGUCGCUGAUUUUAGUUUGUGGGCGUAAUGAUGGCUGCGAAGAAUGUGAGUAAAUGCUGGCGGGGCAGACGAGAACAUGGUGAUUAUGAUGACUGCUUUUGAGUUGUGGCGUUGAAUGUGAGAGAGAAAGUAAGAGAGAAGGAGAAAUUAGAAUAGAAAGAUAAAAGGCUCUAUCUUUCAAUGUUUUUCGUGCAGUUUCUUAAUUUAUCUUUGAUUGUUCAGAGAAUUUGCUGUGUUUUUUGAUAAAGAGAGAACAGACACAAUGUGGCAAGAAUUAUUAGCAUUCAUCAAACUUAGGACUCCUUUUACCUUAAAAUAAUGAAGUUGUGCAGCUGUGUUGACAUUUUACCCUCUUUCUUUUGGUAAAAUUUACAA
This 1507-nucleotide long non-coding RNA is filed under the name Olea europaea subsp. europaea. Lineage: Eukaryota; Viridiplantae; Streptophyta; Magnoliopsida; Lamiales; Oleaceae. The record is from RNAcentral.